Diachasma alloeum is the source of this 939-nucleotide long non-coding RNA. RefSeq lists it as uncharacterized. The record is from RefSeq and is a predicted model, not a curated record. NCBI's taxonomy places the organism in Eukaryota, Metazoa, Arthropoda, Insecta, Hymenoptera, Braconidae. The transcript has 3 exons.
GAACCUAAGGGACCAUGAGUUGGAAUCACGGCAAACUGUUGGUAUAUGACUCCAAUCCGGAUAUUUAAAGUUUACGGCGUUAGAAAUAUGUGACCAUUCGAUGGCUCGGGAAACCAACAUGGACCACAUGUCGGUAAAUUUUUAUCGAUAAGGCAGGACGCGCACUUUGCUAACAUUCCACUUUAUCAACACAUGAACUGGAAAGUACAGUCGUUGCAAUCGGCAUUAUGCAAAAAUGGAAGAUUAUCAUGAGAUUCAACCAGAUACAACUAUCUCUGACUUCGAUGCUCUGAAGAAGCAAAAACCAGACAACCGCUGGCAUGUGGCUGGUAUUAAGCGCCCGUCGACGUCGUUUUAAAAUUUUUUUUUCUACCUACUGCAUUGUUAUUAAGCGUUCAUCUCUUAAGGUUUCUGUCUGCUGGGGUAGCCACACUUUGAUUUUGUUGUUACAUACACACCGUCCCAAAAAAAUUUCAUACGCUGAGAGAAAAACGGAAGAGUUCUCAAACAAGUCUUACUCGUGCCAAAAAAUCGUUUGUUAAAAGUUAUCAAAAAAGGACUUUCUCUGGCAAACAUGCGAAACGUGCGACGAAAUUAAAACAGUUUAUUUCAAAAACACAUUUAGUCUUUUGAAAAAAAAUUUACUCUCUGUACAAGCAAGAAAUGUAAUUUCUAGCACUACUUCUUCGUUAUUCGAUGCUCCCAUACGGUACUUUUAUCCCAGCAAAUACUCGUUUUAUAUAAAACGAUGGAUAGUAGUUUGUUGUGUCGGCUCUUCAAUAAUUGUAGACAACAAAUGAAUUCUUAAAUGAAAUAAUAAUAAUGAUAUGACAGCAAUCUUGUAACUUAGGGACAAAAUAUUUCUUGACAAACUUCACUCUAUAAGAUAUAGAUAUUUUUAUCCUGAAAAGCCACCGUUUCGUAUGAAUGAUCCGCCUC